GGGAGGAAGGGUGGGCACAAUGUCGGGUCAACCAGAUCGAACCAUCCAACCUGAUAUUAGAGAGUUGGGUUGGCCUAAUAAUGAGCAACUUUUGAGUUCAAAAAAUCAUAAACCGCUUUGUAUAAGUUGGAAUUAUGAGUUAACCCGACCGAACAGCCUACUAAGUUCAUAAAAGAGUUGGUUUGGGUUGGGUUGAUCUAACGAUGAGCG
This 210-nucleotide long non-coding RNA is filed under the name Prunus persica (peach). RNAcentral describes it as "long non-coding RNA (PPER_LNC007642)". Lineage: Eukaryota; Viridiplantae; Streptophyta; Magnoliopsida; Rosales; Rosaceae. The record is from RNAcentral.